This 623-nucleotide ribosomal RNA is filed under the name uncultured Finegoldia sp. Its description in RNAcentral is "bacterial SSU rRNA". It matches the Rfam family "Bacterial small subunit ribosomal RNA", at positions 65 to 690 of the family's 1533-position model. The record is from RNAcentral. Lineage: Bacteria; Bacillati; Bacillota; Tissierellia; Tissierellales; Peptoniphilaceae.
AACGGGAUUUAGUAAACAGAAGCCUCGGUGGAAGAUUACUAAUGAGAGUGGCGAACGGGUGAGUAACGCGUGAGCAACCUGCCUAUGACAGUGGGAUAGCCUCGGGAAACCGGGAUUAAUACCGCAUAAAAUCGUAGAAACACAUGUUUUAACGGUCAAAGAUUUAUCGGUCAUAGAUGGGCUCGCGUCUGAUUAGCUAGUUGGUGAGAUAACAGCCCACCAAGGCGACGAUCAGUAGCCGGUCUGAGAGGAUGAACGGCCACAUUGGAACUGAGACACGGUCCAGACUCCUACGGGAGGCAGCAGUGGGGAAUAUUGCACAAUGGGGGAAACCCUGAUGCAGCGACGCCGCGUGAACGAAGAAGGUAUUCGUAUCGUAAAGUUCUGUCCUAUGGGAAGAUAAUGACAGUACCAUAGAAGAAAGCUCCGGCUAAAUACGUGCCAGCAGCCGCGGUAAUACGUAUGGAGCGAGCGUUGUCCGGAAUUAUUGGGCGUAAAGGGUACGCAGGCGGUUUAAUAAGUCGAAUGUUAAAGAUCGGGGCUCAACCCCGUAAAGCAUUGGAAACUGAUAAACUUGAGUAGUGGAGAGGAAAGUGGAAUUCCUAGUGUAGUGGUGAAAUACG